RNAcentral lists this long non-coding RNA (6104 nucleotides) under Marmota monax (woodchuck). Lineage: Eukaryota; Metazoa; Chordata; Mammalia; Rodentia; Sciuridae. The record is from RNAcentral.
UGUCAGUGGAAGCUACUGUGUGUUGAAGCUUCCCACCCUUGUAACUGUUGCUACCCUCAGCCUGAAGAUCUGGUGGCACUUGUAGAUGUCAGUUUGCCUCUUAAUAACAAGGCCAAGGAGGGACCAGGAAGUCUGGAAACCCUGAGCUUACAUUCCCUUUCUUCUUUUCAAAUGUAGAUGUCUGACUCCACCCUUCAUGCAUUCACAUUUUCUUCCUCUAUGUUGGGAGAAGAAGUUCAGCUGUAUUUCAUCAUCCCCAAAUCCAAAGAGAGUCAUUUUGUCUUCAGCAAGCAGGGCAAACACCUGGAGAGCAUGCGGCUGCCUCUGGUUUCAGACAAGGUGGGUGAGAGGUCUAGAUGGUUGCCAGACACCCGGCACUAGAUCAGGUUCUCCAAGCUGCUCACAUCUGAGGGUUUUACUUUCCCUUUUUGGUCUUACUUUUUGGUUUUACUUUUCCUUUUCAGCAGAAUUUGAAUGCAGUCAAGAGCCCUAUUUUCACUCCUUCCAGUGGUCGCCAUGAGCAUGGACUCCUAAACCUUUUCCACGCCAUGGAGGGCAUCAGCCACCUUCACCUUCUAGUGGUCAAAGAAUAUGAGAUGCCGCUGUACCGCAAGUACUGGCCCAACCACAUCAUGCUGGUGCUUCCUGGCAUGUUCAACAAUGCAGGCGUGGGUAAGGGGCCCCCUGGGAUGGGGAGAAGGGCUAAGCAAACUGAGCUCCAUUCCCCUGCCAUAAAACUUCCAAAGGUUUCUCUGCCUCUGGACGGUGUCCUGCUCUCCUGGCCAGAAGUCUUUUGACGCUUUGCAUUUCUCUAUGCCCCUUACUACCUUUUCUGUAGUUUUGCAGAAAUUUUAACUUCCAAGGACUAGUAACUAAGGAAGUCACUGUAAUAUUGAGCACCCUGGGAAGGGUUUAAGAUUCUUCCCAGGAACUUGGUCCUUUGAGGCCAGAAUGUAACCCUGAAAAGAAAGAUGAUUUGAGGGGAGGUAGUGUUUCACCUGUUCUUAAGAGUCCCUGACUCACUGUCCUCCUAGGAGCACAUACCAAGUGCUAGCAGACGGCAACCCGUCCAGGGAAUUGGAAGAAUCAUUCCUGCUUGGAAGGAGUCUUUUCUGCUUUUCCCCAGGGAGUUUAGAAAUAAUGAAUUCAUUUCUCAAAGGGGCAAUGGUUGCAGAAUAUAAAGCAGAGCUGUGGGGAGGUAAUGGAGAUACCAAGAACACUUCAUUUUCCUUACAUAGAUGGGAAAACUCUCACUGAAUGUGUUGUUUUGGAACCAUACUAUUCUGUACACUUCAGACACUGCAGUUCUCAUUAUUUCCAUCAACUUCUAUGGGUGUCUGAAUAUUUCAUUGUGAUUUAUCUCCAUUUCCCUAAUGAUUAUGAAUGUUAUCUUUUCAUGUGCUUUUUGACUGUAUGUCUUUAGAAAAAUGCUCCGCAAAGUCUUUUGCCCAUGAAUCAUUUUAUUGUUGAGAUCAUAGAGAUUCUUUACAUAUUGUGGAUAUUAACUCCUUAUCAGAUGUUAUUACAGAUAUUACACCCAUUCCAUGUAUAGCCUUUUCACUGUGUUGUGUUCUUUAAUACAUAAAAGUUCUUAAAGAAGUCCAGUUUUUCUGUUUUUGCCACAGAUCACUGCCUAAUUCAAUAUCAUAAAGACUUCCCCUGUAUUUUCUUCAAAAUCUUUUACAGUUCUAGCUUUUAUGUCUAGGUCUGUGAUCCAGUUUAAUUAAUUCUUGUAUAUAGUGUAAAGGAAGUAAGUUCAUUUCUUGGCAUAUAGAUAUCCAGUUCUGCCAACACCAACUGAUGAUGAAACGGUCCUUCCCUCAUUUAAUGGCUUUGACAUCAUUGUUGACAAUCAUUUAACUAUAUAUAUGAGAGGGUUUGUUUCUGGGCUUUCUGUGUCUGUAUGUCACUCCCACAGUUUUGACAAAAAUGGUUUUAUACAAGUUUUAAAAUUAGUACAAAAUUUCUAAUUUUUUGAGACAUGAUAUUUGUACAUUUUUUAUGGAUUAUGGUACUUCAAUAUGCAUAUAAUGUAUAAUAAACCAAAUCAGGGUAAUAAGGACUUCAGUCUUUUCAAAUGUUGAUCCUUUUUAUGUGAUGGGGACAUUUAGUGCUGUUUUCUUAUCAUUUUGAAAUAAAUCAUAAUUUGCUAUAGCCAAAUUAACCUUCUGUGCUAUACAGAAAACCAGAACUAAUCCCUCUUUUCCAUGUGUUUGUGCUCUUCAUUGGGCUUUUCCCCAUCUCUUCCUCCUGGCUACACUUCCCAGUCUCAAGCAAGCACACUGCACUCCAUUCUUCUAAGAGAUCAGCUUUUUAGUUUUCAUAAGAGUAAGAACAUGGGUAUUUCUCUUUCUGUGGCUUAUUUCACCUCCCAUAACGCUCUCCAGUUCUUCCCAUGUUUCUGCAAAUGGCAACUUCGUUCUUUUUUAUGGUGGAAUAAUCUUCCAUUGUGUGUACAUAUACCACACUUACUUUAUCCAUUCGUCCACUGAUGGGCAUCUAGGUUGAUUUUAUAUCUUAGCUGUGGUAAAUAGUGCUAUAAUAAACAUGGGAGUGCAGAUAUCUCUUUGAUAUGAUUUCAUAUCAAUAUUGGGAUUGCAGGAUCAUUUAGAAGUUUUUAGUUUUUAAAGGAAUCUCUGUGCUGUUUUUCAAAAUGGCCGUAUGAGUUUACAUUUCCCAAUAGUGUAUAAGAUUUCCUCAUUCUCUGCAUCCUGCGGCAUCUUGUCUUUUUGAUAACAGUCAUUCCAACUGUAGUGAGGUUUACUUUUGUUCUGUACCUUUGGGAUCCUAUCUAAAAAAAUCAUCGCCUACACCAAUGAAACCUGCCACUUUGGCUUGUAAAAUUUUUGUUCUUACACCUAGGUCUUGAAUCCAUUUGAGAUGACUUUUGUGCAUUUACAGUGGUCUAGUUUCAUUUUUCUACAUACAGAUAUCCAGUUUUCCUGCCACAAUUUAUUUGAAAAGGUUGUCUUUAAUAAACAUUUGUAGCAUCUUUGUCAAGAAUCGGUGACUGUUAGGUGUGUGGAAUUGUCUGUGUCUUCUGUUCCAUUGGUCUACGUAUCUAUUUUGAUGCCAGUACCAUUCUGCUUUUGUUACUAUGGCUCUGAAAGUAAUAUAAUCUGAAAUGGGGUACUGUGGUAUCUCCAGCAUUACUUCUUUUGCUCAGAACUGCUUUAGCUAUUCUGGGCCUUUUGUUCUUCUAUAUGAAUUUUAGGAUUUUCCUCCUAGUUUUAUGAAGAAUGUCAUUGGAAUUUUGUUGGGGAUUGCAUUGAAUCUGUGGAUCCCUUUUACUAAUAUGGCCAUUUUAACAAAAUGGAUUUAUUUUUGAUUUCUUUUUAUAAUUUUUUACUUUCUCCUUUUUUUCCCUUUCUCCUCACUUUUUCUUUCGUAUCUUUCGUUUCCCCCAUUUCUUUCCUUAUUAUUUUCAUACCCUUUAUGAUUUAGUGUCUAUUUUAUUUCCUUUAAUACCAAAAUUUUCUGACUAGAGUAUUUGUCUUCUUUUCUAUUUUUAAAUUAGUGGAGUUGGAGAGAACAUUUCAAUGCCUUAUAAACCUUGUUAGUAUAUGGUCUGCUUGCAAAUGUCUAGUGAUUAUCAUCUCCUCUCAAAAUGGUGUUGGGAACUGGUCAUAUCACUCUGAACCCAUGGUGGGCUUUGAUGCUGAGAUACACCAGCAGCCCAGGGCACAAAGCAAAGAGAAAGCAGCUCACUAAAAUACUUCUACAGUUGAAGAGGUAUCAAACCCAGCAGAUACACAAAUCUCAACAAAGAAACACAGAAAACAAGGUAAUAAGAUCCUUCCAAAGGUUUUUAACUUCCCAGUAAUUGAACCCAGAGAUAUUGAAGACGAAGUGCUGGACAAAGAAUUUUAAAAGCUGAUGAUCAAAGCAGUCAAUGAAUUAAAAGAAGAAUAAAGGGAAGAAAAAAACAGGAAGUGAAAGAAUACUUCGAUACUCUGAAAAAGAAACAAAUAGAAACCUUAGAAAUAAAAAAAACAAAAACUAGUAAUUCAAAUGUAAUCAAGUGUCACCAUUAGACUAGAUCAAGCAGAAGAAAGGAUAUCAAGGCUCAAAGAUUCAGGAUUCAAACUUCAUACUCAUAAAUUCUGAGUCUCUCCCAAAAGGACAGAGUAAAAAAAUUAGAAAAAAAAAUCAAGAAUAAAUCCAAAUAAACAUUUUAAAAACAUAAAACUGGAUAUCAAUAUCAAAUAAUGGGGGGGGGGGCAGGUAUCUGACCACAGUCAACUCAGAAGACAAUACAGUGAAAUAAAAAAUGUUGAAAAUAUUAGAAUUCCUCAGGCUUUGGCUCCUGUCCACCCAGGCUUCAUCCCACCCAACUCUUGUACAAACUUAAUAGGUGGUGACAUGUUCUCUUUGUUGCUGAGAUGUAAUGGCCCCUGGAGUGUCAGUUAACUCCUUCACGGGCACCCUGCAAGUCCCGGCAACAGUGGCAAGCCUUGGUGGCUUUCAAUUGCACAGCACUCAUGCAAUUUUUGGUAUACAGUCAGAUAAUCAUACUAUGACCUUCAGACUGGUUAUUUCUGGUGUGCAGAAAUGUAACGGAUUUGGAGUAUCUGCAACAUUGCUUAUUGGUCUAACAGGGUUUUCUGUGGAAUUUUAAGUAUUUUCUUCAUAUAAGAUAUGUUUUCUGGGAGGUGGUUUUUAUUCAUCUCCAAUUUGAAUAACUUUUCUUUUUCUGGCCUAAUUGUUCUGGCCAGGACUUCCAUACUAUGUUUAAAUAAAAGUGGUAAAAUUUUUAAGGAUUUGUAUUUAAAUCUCAAAAAAGAUUCCUUUUCAUAAUCUUAGGUUAAGUAGCAUUUAUCAAGAAAUUUUCAGGAGAAAAGAUCAGUCUGUUCUCAUCAUUGUUAUGUAUAAAACUAAGUAGUAAGCAUUUUUCUUACAGCAUUGGAACUCAUUGAAAGAUUGCAUGGCAUAAACAGGAACGAAUAAAACCAACAUCUUUUUUGAUAUAAAUGCCAAUCUUUUGUUAAGUAACACUGUAAAAAUUAGCUAUGCGUAUAAGGAAGUAGUAAACUGCUCUGGGGGGGAAAAAAAAACAUAAGUGGUGAAAGUAGGCAUCCUUGUUCCUGAUCUUGGAGCAAAGAUCUUCAGUCUUUCACUACAAUGUUGUUACUAAUGGGCUUUUUGUAUAUGGCUCUGUGUUUAGAAUGCUAACUAUUACACAUAUGCUCUUAGUAGGCUUUCCCAAAUUCCAAUUAUUAUCCAAACUGUCCUGGGUUCCUCCAUCAGUUGAAUAACGUUCUUUUGUUUUAUUAUCACAUUUUCAUUUUAAGGUGGCUUAAGUUUGGCUAUUUCCUGAUGAUCACCAUUUUAAAUAAUUGCUAAUACUGAAUACUUACAGUUUGCUAGACACUAUCUUGUCAUUGUUACCUGUUCCAGAAAGGGAAGCCAAGAUUGAGUGGAAUUAACUUGUUCAGUGUCACAGGCUAGAACAUGGUGGAAUCAAAGCAAGAGCUUGACUCUAAUCUGUUUCUUUAUUAUACCAUACUACCUCUUGCAAAAAGUACAUCUGAGGGAAGGGUACAAAAUUCCAGAGUCGUCUUCAGAGAGACGCUGCUGGCAACUCCCUAAAGGUAUCUAAAGCAAAAGACUCAUCAAUGCAAGUAGCACUGCCAUUAGUCACAGCCCUGGCUACUCCCUAGUGCAGGACAUAUGAGUGGAUACUUCUAAGCCUAACAUUCUAUGAGGAACUAAUUAAAAAGCAUCCCAGGGAAACUGGAUUCCUCAAUACUCCUCAAAGUAUAGUUCAUGCAUCUUCAAAGAUUAUCUCUGGUCUCUGAUCCUUUACCAAAUUUAAGCAAAUCUGCAGAGAUGGGUCUUAGGAAUCUACAUUUGAAACUGACUUCCCUAAUGACUCUUAAGAGAACCACUGCUCUGAGCAUUUGGGUGGCUCUGCCAGGUGCAUGUGAAGAAUGGGGAAGUGCUGGAGGGGCUUCAGUGAAGGGUGUGUAUACAUUGGUUAUGCUGCCUUCCAGGUGCUGCUAGAUUCCUCAUUAAGGAGCUGUCAUAUCACAACCUAGAACUGGAGAGGAACCGCCUGGAGGAGCUGGGAGUUAAACGCCAGUGUGUCUGGCCUUUCAUCGUUG